GUAGGGUGCGAGCGUUAAUCGGAAUUACUGGGCGUAAAGCGUGCGCAGGCGGUUUUGUAAGCCAGAUGUGAAAGCCCCGGGCUCAACCUGGGAAUGGCAUUUGGGACUGCAAGGCUUGAGUGCGGCAGAGGAGACUGGAAUUCCUGGUGUAGCAGUGAAAUGCGUAGAUAUCAGGAGGAAUACCGAUGGCGAAGGCAGGUCUCUGGGCUGACACUGACGCUCAUGCACGAAAGCGUGGGGAGCAAACAGGAUUAGAUACCCUGGUAGUCCACGCCCUAAACGAUGUCGACUGGUUGUUGGGGGUUUGACACUCUCAGUAACGAAGCUAACGCGUGAAGUCGACCGCCUGGGGAGUACGGCCGCAAGGUUA
RNAcentral lists this ribosomal RNA (370 nucleotides) under uncultured bacterium. Its description in RNAcentral is "bacterial SSU rRNA". It matches the Rfam family "Bacterial small subunit ribosomal RNA", at positions 527 to 896 of the family's 1533-position model. The record is from RNAcentral.